Molecule: ribosomal RNA, 503 nt
Filed under: uncultured Rikenellaceae bacterium
Lineage: Bacteria; Pseudomonadati; Bacteroidota; Bacteroidia; Bacteroidales; Rikenellaceae
Description: bacterial SSU rRNA
Rfam family: Bacterial small subunit ribosomal RNA
Source: RNAcentral
CGCCUUGCCAGCCCGCUCAGAAACUUAAAUGAAUUGACGGGGGCCCGCACAAGCGGAGGAACAUGUGGUUUAAUUCGAUGAUACGCGAGGAACCUUACCUGGGCUAGAACGCAAUCGGAAUCAGGCCGAAAGGUCUGCGCCAGCGAUGGCCGGUUGCGAGGUGCUGCAUGGUUGUCGUCAGCUCGUGCCGUGAGGUGUCGGGUUAAGUCCCAUAACGAGCGCAACCCCUACUGCUAGUUGCCAGCGGGUCAUGCCGGGGACUCUAGCGGAACUGCCAGCGUAAGCUGCGAGGAAGGUGGGGAUGACGUCAAAUCAGCACGGCCCUUACGUCCAGGGCUACACACGUGUUACAAUGGCCAGUACAGAGGGCAGCCACCCCGCGAGGGGGCGCUAAUCCUAAAAGCUGGUCCCAGUUCGGAUCGGAGUCUGCAACCCGACUCCGUGAAGCUGGAUUCGCUAGUAAUCGCGCAUCAGCCACGGCGCGGUGAAUACGUUCCGGCCUU